RNAcentral lists this ribosomal RNA (258 nucleotides) under uncultured bacterium. RNAcentral's name for it is "partial 16S ribosomal RNA". It matches the Rfam family "Bacterial small subunit ribosomal RNA", at positions 524 to 777 of the family's 1533-position model. The record is from RNAcentral.
UACGGGGGGAGCAAGCGUUGUUCGGAUUUACUGGGCGUAAAGGCGCGUAGGCGGCGUGACAAGUCACUUGUGAAAUCUCCGGGCUUAACUCGGAACGGUCAAGUGAUACUGUCGUGCUAGAGUACAGAAGGGGGCAACUGGAAUUCUCGGUGUAGCGGUGAAAUGCGUAGAUAUCGAGAGGAACACCAGAGGUGAAGACGGGGUGCUGGGGCUGACACUGACGCUGAGGCGCGAAAGCCAGGGGGAGGCAAAACGGGG